This 482-nucleotide ribosomal RNA is filed under the name uncultured bacterium. Its description in RNAcentral is "partial 16S ribosomal RNA". It matches the Rfam family "Bacterial small subunit ribosomal RNA", at positions 30 to 507 of the family's 1533-position model. The record is from RNAcentral.
AUUGAACGCUGGCGGCAUGCCUUACACAUGCAAGUCGAACGGUAACGGGCCUUCGGGUGCCGACGAGUGGCGAACGGGUGAGUAAUACAUCGGAACGUGCCCGAUCGUGGGGGAUAACGAGGCGAAAGCUUUGCUAAUACCGCAUACGAUUUACAGAUGAAAGCAGGGGACCGCAAGGCCUUGCGCGGACGGAGCGGCCGAUGGCAGAUUAGGUAGUUGGUGGGAUAAAAGCUUACCAAGCCGACGAUCUGUAGCUGGUCUGAGAGGAUGAUCAGCCACACUGGGACUGAGACACGGCCCAGACUCCUACGGGAGGCAGCAGUGGGGAAUUUUGGACAAUGGGCGCAAGCCUGAUCCAGCCAUGCCGCGUGCAGGAUGAAGGCCUUCGGGUUGUAAACUGCUUUUGUACGGAACGAAAAGCCUUCUUUUAAUACAGGAGGGUCAUGACGGUACCGUAAGAAUAAGCACCGGCUAACUACGUG